AGUGGAUGGGGAGCAACCUAGUUGUGCGUGUGUAAAGGUAGUGCCAAGAAAAGCGAUGAUCAUGUUGAAAAUCAAUUCCCGGUACCCGAAACCGACACAGGUGGGCAAGUAGAGAAUACUAAGGGGCGCGAGGUAACUCUCUCCAAGGAACUCGGCAAAAUGACCCCGUAACUUAGGGAGAAGGGGUGCCACCGAGAGGUGGUCGCAGUGAAGAGGCCCAGGCGACUGUUUAGCAAAAGCAUAGGUCUCUGCAAACUCGAAAGAGGAGGUAUAGGGGCUGACGCCUGCCCAGUGCCGGAAGGUUAAAGAAGUUGGUCAGUUUUAGGAUGAAGCUAGCGACUGAAGCCCCGGUGAACGGCGGCCGUAACUAUAACGGUCCUAAGGUAGCGAAAUUCCUUGUCGGGUAAGUUCCGACCCGCACGAAAGGCGUAACGAUCUGGGCGCUGUCUCGGAGAGAGGCUCGGCGAAAUAGGAUUGUCUGUGAAGAUACGGACUACCUGCAUUUGGACAGAAAGACCCUAUGAAGCUUUACUAUAGCUUGGAAUUGUGUUCGGGCUUCCUGUGCGCAGGAUAGGUGGGAGGCGUAGAAGGUAUUCUGUGGGGAUACUGGAGCCAACGGUGAGAUACCACUCUCAGGAGGCUAGAAUUCUAACUUAAUUAAGGACAGUUUCAGGUGGGUAGUUUGACUGGGGCGGUCGCCUCCAAAAAGGUAACGGAGGCGUACAAAGGUUCCCUCAGACUGGUUGGAAAUCAGUCGAAGAGUGCAAAGGCAGAAGGGAGCUUGACUGCGAGAAGUACAGUUCGAGCAGGGUGGAAACACGGUCUUAGUGAUCCGACGGUGCUGUGUGGAAGGGCCGUCGCUCAACGGAUAAAAGUUACUCUAAGGAUAACGGGCUGAUCUCCCCCAAGAGUUCACAUCGACGGGGAGGUUUGGCACCUCGAUGUCGGCUCAUCGCAACCUGGGGCGGAAGUACGUCCCAAGGGUUGGGCUGUUCGCCCAUUACAGUGGUACGUGAGCUGGGUUCAGAACGUCGUGAGACAGUUCGGUCCAUAUCCGAUGUAGGCGUGAGAAUAUUGAGAGGAGCCUUCCUUAGUACGAGAGGACCGGGAAGGACGCACCGCUGGUGUACCUGUUAUGAUGCCAAUUGUAAACGCAGGGUAGCCAAGUGCGGAGAGGAUAACCGCUGAAAGCAUCUAAGUGGGAAGCCCACCUCAAGAUGAGUAUUCUGGUGUAAGGUCACGGGAAGACGACCCGUAAAUAGGCACGAGGUGGAAGUGCAGAGAUGUAUGAAGCCGAAGUGUACUAAUAGACCGUCGGCUUGACC
Molecule: ribosomal RNA, 1325 nt
Filed under: metagenome
Description: bacterial LSU rRNA
Rfam family: Bacterial large subunit ribosomal RNA
Source: RNAcentral